CGAACGCUGGCGGCGUGCCUAACACAUGCAAGUCGAACGGAAUAAUUUAGUGGAAGUUUUCGGAUGGAAGCUAGAAUAUUUAGUGGCGGACGGGUGAGUAAUGCCUAGGAAUCUGCCUGGUAGUGGGGGAUAACGUUCGGAAACGGACGCUAAUACCGCAUACGUCCUACGGGAGAAAGCAGGGGACCUUCGGGCCUUGCGCUAUCAGAUGAGCCUAGGUCGGAUUAGCUAGUUGGUGAGGUAAUGGCUCACCAAGGCGACGAUCCGUAACUGGUCUGAGAGGAUGAUCAGUCACACUGGAACUGAGACACGGUCCAGACUCCUACGGGAGGCAGCAGUGGGGAAUAUUGGACAAUGGGCGAAAGCCUGAUCCAGCCAUGCCGCGUGUGUGAAGAAGGUCUU
Molecule: ribosomal RNA, 402 nt
Filed under: uncultured bacterium
Lineage: Bacteria
Description: bacterial SSU rRNA
Rfam family: Bacterial small subunit ribosomal RNA
Source: RNAcentral